This 253-nucleotide ribosomal RNA is filed under the name uncultured bacterium. RNAcentral describes it as "partial 16S ribosomal RNA". It matches the Rfam family "Bacterial small subunit ribosomal RNA", at positions 524 to 776 of the family's 1533-position model. The record is from RNAcentral.
UACGAAGGGGGCUAGCGUUGUUCGGAAUCACUGGGCGUAAAGCGUACGUAGGCGGAUCGUUAAGUCAGGGGUGAAAUCCUGGAGCUCAACUCCAGAACUGCCUUUGAUACUGAAGAUCUUGAGUUCGGGAGAGGUGAGUGGAACUGCGAGUGUAGAGGUGAAAUUCGUAGAUAUUCGCAAGAACACCAGUGGCGAAGGCGGCUCACUGGCCCGAUACUGACGCUGAGGUACGAAAGCGUGGGGAGCAAACAGG